CCUACGGGAGGCAGCAGUGAGGAAUAUUGGUCAAUGGGCGCGAUCCUGAACCAGCCAAGUCGCGUGAGGGAAGACGGUCCUAUGGGUUGUAAACCUCUUUUGUCGGGGAACAAAAGCCGCCACGCGUGGCGUUCCGAGAGUACCCGAAGAAAAAGCAUCGGCUAACUCCGUGCCAGCAGCCGCGGUAAUACGGAGGAUGCGAGCGUUAUCCGGAUUUAUUGGGUUUAAAGGGUGCGCAGGCGGAAGAUCAAGUCAGCGGUAAAAUUGAGAGGCUCAACCUCGUCGAGCCGUUGAAACUGGUUGUCUUGAGUGAGUGAGAAGUAUGCGGAAUGCGCGGUGUAGCGGUGAAAUGCAUAGAUAUCACGCAGAACUCCGAUUGCGAAGGCAGCAUACCGGCGCUCAACUGACGCUCAUGCACGAAAGUGUGGGUAUCGAACAGGAUUAGAUACCCUUGUAGUC
Molecule: ribosomal RNA, 459 nt
Filed under: uncultured bacterium
Lineage: Bacteria
Description: partial 16S ribosomal RNA
Rfam family: Bacterial small subunit ribosomal RNA
Source: RNAcentral